RNAcentral lists this ribosomal RNA (938 nucleotides) under Escherichia coli. Its description in RNAcentral is "partial 23S ribosomal RNA". It matches the Rfam family "Bacterial large subunit ribosomal RNA", at positions 419 to 1356 of the family's 2925-position model. Lineage: Bacteria; Pseudomonadati; Pseudomonadota; Gammaproteobacteria; Enterobacterales; Enterobacteriaceae. The record is from RNAcentral.
GGGACACGUGGUAUCCUGUCUGAAUAUGGGGGGACCAUCCUCCAAGGCUAAAUACUCCUGACUGACCGAUAGUGAACCAGUACCGUGAGGGAAAGGCGAAAAGAACCCCGGCGAGGGGAGUGAAAAAGAACCUGAAACCGUGUACGUACAAGCAGUGGGAGCACGCUUAGGCGUGUGACUGCGUACCUUUUGUAUAAUGGGUCAGCGACUUAUAUUCUGUAGCAAGGUUAACCGAAUAGGGGAGCCGAAGGGAAACCGAGUCUUAACUGGGCGUUAAGUUGCAGGGUAUAGACCCGAAACCCGGUGAUCUAGCCAUGGGCAGGUUGAAGGUUGGGUAACACUAACUGGAGGACCGAACCGACUAAUGUUGAAAAAUUAGCGGAUGACUUGUGGCUGGGGGUGAAAGGCCAAUCAAACCGGGAGAUAGCUGGUUCUCCCCGAAAGCUAUUUAGGUAGCGCCUCGUGAAUUCAUCUCCGGGGGUAGAGCACUGUUUCGGCAAGGGGGUCAUCCCGACUUACCAACCCGAUGCAAACUGCGAAUACCGGAGAAUGUUAUCACGGGAGACACACGGCGGGUGCUAACGUCCGUCGUGAAGAGGGAAACAACCCAGACCGCCAGCUAAGGUCCCAAAGUCAUGGUUAAGUGGGAAACGAUGUGGGAAGGCCCAGACAGCCAGGAUGUUGGCUUAGAAGCAGCCAUCAUUUAAAGAAAGCGUAAUAGCUCACUGGUCGAGUCGGCCUGCGCGGAAGAUGUAACGGGGCUAAACCAUGCACCGAAGCUGCGGCAGCGACGCUUAUGCGUUGUUGGGUAGGGGAGCGUUCUGUAAGCCUGUGAAGGUGUGCUGUGAGGCAUGCUGGAGGUAUCAGAAGUGCGAAUGCUGACAUAAGUAACGAUAAAGCGGGUGAAAAGCCCGCUCGCCGGAAGACCAAGGGUUCCU